GGUGAUGGAUCUACUAGCCAUGGAGGAAGUGGAGGACAGUAUGGUACUAGUUAUGAGACACAGCCGGAGGGAGGUUUUCGAUACACCGGUGAGUCUCAGUUUACACAUGCUACACAAGAUACGGACCACGGUAGGCCGUCUGAUAUAGACCGGUCAGAUACCAUUGCAUAUCGAAGAAGAGCUCCUCGAGGUCGUUCAAGAGGCCAGGAUGCAGCUGCAGAUGACCUUCCAUAUGGAGUCGAAUCCAUUGAUGUAUCAAGUUCCGAGUCUUUCUAUUAUCCACGGCCUCAGCCAGCCUAUGGAUAUGGUGCAUCAGAGUCAUCUUCCGGUGGCUACUAUCCUGCGCAGCCCGGAGGAUCUUACGGAUCGGAUUUUGGUGUCGGCAUAUUCGAAUGGACCCCUUAUCAAGACACCUCUCAGAGCCAGAGCUUCAGCGAGAGAUCCGAGAGUUCUUAUGACCCGACGCGCAUUCCUCGAGGAUUGAGCAUACAAGACUACAAUGCCGCUUGGUUAGAGGGAUGGAUUGAUCUGCCUCCAUAUUAUGCUGAUGAUCCAGAUAUUGACGAGAAGCAUCGCCACUCGACCCGAUUUUAGAAAUCCGAGAGUGCUUUAAAUGUAUGUAAUUGAUUGUAUCUUAAUUUAAAAAUAUUUUAUGUUCUUCAUCUCAUUAUUUGAAUUAUUUGGAAGUAAUAAGUUGCAUCAUCUAGUUUUAACCUUAAACCUAAACAUAAAAACAUCAAAAAAAAUAUCCAAAAGUGAAAGAACUCCAAAAAAAAAAGACGAUGGGGUCGAAACCAGGCCGAAUGUGCCCUAUCGGUACGGUAUCGAUUCGGCUCAGUUCGGCUCGGUUCGGCACCGGUACCGUACCGUUACCGGA
This 877-nucleotide long non-coding RNA is filed under the name Phoenix dactylifera (date palm). RNAcentral describes it as "long non-coding RNA (PDAC_LNC016362)". The record is from RNAcentral. Lineage: Eukaryota; Viridiplantae; Streptophyta; Magnoliopsida; Arecales; Arecaceae.